GCACAGUCGAAAACCCUAGCGGUGCAAAAGAAAACGAAAACCUACUUGAGUGGGAAGAAGGGGCGAAGCACUUGGGAUGUGAAAAUUAGGGCAAAAAUGAGGCGGUCCUUGGUAUGUUGCAGCAGCUGCAACUCAAACCCUUCGAGUGGGGGGUGACGAGAUAAUCAAUGGGGUUGAGUGAAAGUGUGAUUGAUUUGGGGAAAUUGUGUGUAGGUUGAAGAAUUAGGUUUUGGGUGACUUGUAAUUGAAGAAGGGCGUGAGUUGAGGGAGUCUGUGGUGGUGAAGAUUAAGUUAGGGUUGAUGAAGGUUUUGGGUUUUGAAAAGUGAAAGAUGAAGAGAAGAGAGUUUGGAGCGGCCUGCGGAGGAACAAAAGGCGUGAAUGGGGUGUUCUGAUGUGAAAUGGGAGUGCAUAGGGUUACAAGAAGUGAAGUGGGUCACGCACUCUACAACCAAGCCAGUCUGCAGGUCGCGC
This 472-nucleotide long non-coding RNA is filed under the name Vigna radiata. Its description in RNAcentral is "long non-coding RNA (VRAD_LNC008584)". Lineage: Eukaryota; Viridiplantae; Streptophyta; Magnoliopsida; Fabales; Fabaceae. The record is from RNAcentral.